AGGGUUUGAUCAUGGCUCAGAGCGAACGUUGGCGGCAGGCUUAACACAUGCAAGUCGGACGAGAAAAUCCCUUCGGGGGUGAGUAAAGUGGCGCACGGGUGAGGAACGCGUAGGUAAUCUACCCUCGGGCGGGGGACAACACUCCGAAAGGAAUGCUAAUACCGCGUAAGACCACACUCACUAAGGUGAGAGGGGUAAAAGGUGGCCUCUUCUUGAAAGCUACCGCCAGAGGAUGAGCCUGCGUCCCAUCAGCUUGUUGGUAAGGUAACGGCUUACCAAGGCUAAGACGGGUAGCUGGUCUGAGAGGAUGAUCAGCCACACUGGCACUGGAACACGGGCCAGACUCCUACGGGAGGCAGCAGUGAGGAAUAUUGGGCAAUGGGCGCAAGCCUGACCCAGCCACGUCGCGUGUGUGAUGAAGGCCUUCGGGUCGUAAAGCACUGUGGGGAGAGACGAAAAAUCUCCGUCCUAAUACGGCGGAGACUUGACGGUACCUCCUUAGCAAGCACCGGCUAACUCUGUGCCAGCAGCCGCGGUAAUACAGAGGGUGCAAACGUUGCUCGGAUUUACUGGGCGUAAAGCGCGUGUAGGCGGACUCGCAAGUCGGUUGUGAAAUCCCUGGGCUUAACCUAGGAACUGCAUCCGAAACUGCCAAACUAGAGUUUUGUAGAGGGUGGUAGAAUUUCAGGUGUAGCGGUGAAAUCCGUAGAGAUCUGAAGGAAUACCAGUGGCGAAGGCGGCCACCUGGACAAUAACUGACGCUCAUGUACGAAAGCGUGGGGAGCAAACGGGAUUAGAUCCCCGGUUGUCCACGCCGUAAACGAUGUCAACUAGCCGACUGGCGCCUUGAGCGCUGGGUGGCGCAGCUAACGCAUUAAGUUGACCGCCUGGGGAGUACGGCCGCAAGGUUAAAACUCAAAUGAAUUGACGGGGGCCCGCACAGGCGGUGGAGCAUGUGGUUUAAUUCGAUGCAACGCGAAGAACCUUACCUACUCUUGACAUCCACAGAAUUUUCCAGAGAUGGAUUAGUGCCUUCGGGAACUGUGAGACAGGUGCUGCAUGGCUGUCGUCAGCUCGUGUUGUGAAAUGUUGGGUUAAGUCCCGCAACGAGCGCAACCCCUAUCCUUAGUUGCCAGCACGUAAUGGUGGGAACUCUAGGGAGACUGCCGGUGAUAAACCGGAGGAAGGUGGGGACGACGUCAAGUCAUCAUGGCCCUUACGAGUAGGGCUACACACGUGCUACAAUGGCGCAUACAAAGGGCUGCAAGCUAGCGAUAGUGAGCGAAUCCCAUAAAGUGCGUCGUAGUCCGGAUUGGAGUCUGCAACUCGACUCCAUGAAGUCGGAAUCGCUAGUAAUCGUAGAUCAGAAUGCUACGGUGAAUACGUUCCCGGGCCUUGUACACACCGCCCGUCA
RNAcentral lists this ribosomal RNA (1414 nucleotides) under uncultured prokaryote. RNAcentral's name for it is "partial 16S ribosomal RNA". It matches the Rfam family "Bacterial small subunit ribosomal RNA". The record is from RNAcentral.